Molecule: long non-coding RNA, 203 nt
Filed under: Mytilus galloprovincialis (Mediterranean mussel)
Lineage: Eukaryota; Metazoa; Mollusca; Bivalvia; Mytilida; Mytilidae
Source: RNAcentral
ACCAAUUGUCAUAGAACGUUUUUUUGAUAUUCCGAUAAAAAUAUGUCAACACCUCCAUUUUCCCUAUCAUUUCAUUGAAAAAUGGUCCCUUUUACAUACCUGUUUAAAACUAAAAUUUUGAGCUUAAAUGGUCCGUGACCCCCUAUUUUUUUCGACCAAUUUGAUUCACUUUUUGUAAAGAAUAAAAUAACAAGAAAUACGGC